Molecule: ribosomal RNA, 507 nt
Filed under: uncultured bacterium
Lineage: Bacteria
Description: partial 16S ribosomal RNA
Rfam family: Bacterial small subunit ribosomal RNA
Source: RNAcentral
GACGAACGCUGGCGGCGUGCCUAAUACAUGCAAGUCGAACGCAUUUUCUUUCACCGUAGCUCGCUACACUGAAAGAAAAUGAGUGGCGAACGGGGUAGUAACCCUUGGGUAACCUGCCCAUCAGCGGGGGAAAACCCUUGGAAAUAGGUGCUAAUACUGCAAACUUCAUUUUACCGCAGGGAAAUUGGGUGAAGGGGGCUUUUCUGUAACUGUUGGAGGGACCCACGGUGCAUUGGCAGGUUGGGGGAGUAACGGGCUACCAAGGCUGCGCUGCAUAGCCGACCGGGAAGGGGGAACGGCCACCCUGGGACUGGAGCACGGCCCAGACUCCUACGGGAGGCAGCAGUAGGGAAUCUUCGGCAAUGGACGCAAGUCUGACCGAGCAACGCCGCGUGAGUGAAGAAGGUUUUCGGAUCGUAAAACUCUGUUGUUAGAGAAGAACAAGGAUGAGAGUGGAAAGUUCAUCCCUUGACGGUAUCUAACCAGAAAGCCACGGCUAACUACGUG